This 589-nucleotide long non-coding RNA is filed under the name Mus pahari (shrew mouse). Its description in RNAcentral is "lncRNA (MGP_PahariEiJ_G0004360.1)". Lineage: Eukaryota; Metazoa; Chordata; Mammalia; Rodentia; Muridae. The record is from RNAcentral.
AUGGUGUCCUACCUUCUUUUGAAACUAGAUGGUUCUGCAUAGCCCAGCGUCUGCUUUCUAUUUCUGUGGUUCAGGCACGACUGUUUGUUAAGAUAAUGACAAAGAACAUUGACAUCCAGCACACAUGGGACUUAUGGACUUUGCUGACUAUUUUUGAAAGCUCUGUAGGAUGUGUGGUAAGGAGCGGGGCACAUUAGCCCUGGCUCUGCUAGUGCAGCUCAGUAUGUUUAGGUGUAACUGUGGCUUCUUUAGGUGUAACUGUGUAACACAGACUCACGCUGUGUAGCCAUGGAAGAAUGAAGCGCUGUGUGCUACAUAAACUGUGCCUCUGCUAUACACAAGCAAGAUUGUCAGAUGGCAAGCCCGAACGUGUGCUCUUUCUUUUGUCCCAUUAAGAGGACAAUCUGGAAGAUGCCACCUGGUCAAUCGAGUCAUAUUCUCCACCUGACACAGGGCAGCCUGCCAACCUGACACUUACUCUCAGGCUGCUUUUCUUUACUAGGGCAGCCACUAUUUUUUUUUUCUCAUUCGGUUUUUGUAAGUAUUUAAGUUUAAGCAAAAAUAAAAAUUCAAACAUGUUCGGCUAAUC